RNAcentral lists this ribosomal RNA (427 nucleotides) under uncultured bacterium. RNAcentral describes it as "bacterial SSU rRNA". It matches the Rfam family "Bacterial small subunit ribosomal RNA", at positions 355 to 774 of the family's 1533-position model. The record is from RNAcentral.
UGGGGAAUAUUGGACAAUGGGCGCAAGCCUGAUCCAGCCAUGCCGCGUGAGUGAAGAAGGCCUUCGGGUUGUAAACCGCUUUUGUCAGGGAAGAAACGCUCUGAGCUAAUACCUCGGAGUAAUGACGGUACCUGAAGAAUAAGCACCGGCUAACUACGUGCCAGCAGCCGCGGUAAUACGUAGGGUGCAAGCGUUAAUCGGAAUUACUGGGCGUAAAGCGUGCGCAGGCGGUGAUGUAAGACAGAUGUGAAAUCCCCGGGCUCAACCUGGGAACUGCAUUUGUGACUGCAUCGCUGGAGUGCGGCAGAGGGGGAUGGAAUUCCGCGUGUAGCAGUGAAAUGCGUAGAUAUGCGGAGGAAAACCGAUGGCGAAGGCAAUCCCCUGGGCCUGCACUGACGCUCAUGCACGAAAGCGUGGGGAGCAAACA